AUUAGUGAAAACAAAGUCUCACUCCUGACAUGUUUGUUUUUCAGUGACAAACGUCGAAAUACACUUCUGUGCAUGGGCAGGUGGCGUUUGUGUUUAGACAACGUUUUAGUUUCCAAUAGUCGAACAGCUUAAAGAUGAAUAAGGUACAUUGCCGAAACAUGGCCAUAAUAUUUAUAUAUGGCUUAUUUUUCGUUUUACAACUUAAACGGCAUGUAACAUGCUCAAACCACGCCAUCUUUCGUAGAAACGAACAAAAGUACUUGGUGAAUCACGUCAUUGAAACGGUGGAGACUUUCAGCGAGCUGGAAUGUGGUAUGCAUUGCGCCGCGCGUGAAUCCUGUACGUCGGUAAAUUACAAAACUUCUGAAAUCGGUAAAGGUCGCUGUGAGCUGAACCGGAAGACACCUUUGAGAUCAUCUAGCGACGACGAAGUAAUGAGCCAUGAAUUCAACCAUCUUUACGUCGUUUUUAGAGUCCCGAAACCUUCAAUAAUGACAACUAUGUGCUUGGACGAAGACUGGCGAAAUAGUUUCGGCGGGAAGGGUUGGUCAAAAUGUCAUGAACAAAAUCUUUUCAUCACAGCACUCUACCGAAUUACUAAUGCCAGCAGUCGAAUUGGUAUCGGUAAACUUCAAAAGGCAAGAUGUUGCGGUUCCACACAAGCGUUUAGCGGUCAAAGUGGCGUCUGUAAAACAGCUGACUGGCGAACUUCUAUGGACACAAGUUACAGUUGGAGCCUAUGCCCCAUGGGUUACUUCUUAAGCGGAUUAUAUCGCAACGAUGGCAUAAAAUUAGGAAACAUCACCCAUGCCCAUUGCUGCAGACCCAGUCAUCAUCCCGAGAAUUAUGAAUCAUGUUAUGAGGAGAAUGUUCGAACAUCGUUCGAAAGACAAGGAUGGUCAAGCUGUUCCCAGGUCAGACAUUACAUAACUGGACUUUAUCGUGGACGUUCUAGUUCCCUAAGCUAUAUCAACAAAUUUCAAUGUUGCCAAAUGGCUAAAUAGACAAAGCAAUCACGCCUUUCGGACAAACGGCCCCAGGAGUGAAAUUAUGGAACGGUUUCAUGAUGUUGCAUUUUAUUUCUGUAAGAAUCCAUAUAUUAAUUUCCA
Long non-coding RNA from Dendronephthya gigantea, 1109 nucleotides. RefSeq lists it as uncharacterized. The record is from RefSeq and is a predicted model, not a curated record. NCBI's taxonomy places the organism in Eukaryota, Metazoa, Cnidaria, Anthozoa, Malacalcyonacea, Nephtheidae. The transcript is spliced from 3 exons.